RNAcentral lists this ribosomal RNA (497 nucleotides) under uncultured bacterium. Its description in RNAcentral is "partial 16S ribosomal RNA". It matches the Rfam family "Bacterial small subunit ribosomal RNA", at positions 28 to 507 of the family's 1533-position model. The record is from RNAcentral.
GAUGAACGCUGGCGGCGUGCCUAAUACAUGCAAGUCGAGCGAACAGAUGAGGAGCUUGCUCCUCUGACGUUAGCGGCGGACGGGUGAGUAACACGUGGAUAACCUACCUAUAAGACUGGGAUAACUUCGGGAAACCGGAGCUAAUACCGGAUAAUAUAUUGAACCGCAUGGUUCAAUAGUGAAAGACGGUUGUGCUGUCACUUAUAGAUGGAUCCGCGCCGCAUUAGCUAGUUGGUAAGGUAACGGCUUACCAAGGCAACGAUGCGUAGCCGACCUGAGAGGGUGAUCGGCCACCCUGGAACUGAGACACGGUCCAGACUCCUGCGGGAGGCACCAGUCGGGAAUCUUCCGCAAUGGGCGAAAGCUUGACGGAGCAACGCCGCGUGAGUGAUGAAGGUCUUCGGAUCGUAAAACUCUGUUAUUAGGGAAGAACAAAUGUGUAAGUAACUAUGCACGUCUUGACGGUACCUAAUCAGAAAGCCCCGGCUAACUACGUG